This 364-nucleotide ribosomal RNA is filed under the name uncultured bacterium. RNAcentral's name for it is "bacterial SSU rRNA". It matches the Rfam family "Bacterial small subunit ribosomal RNA", at positions 541 to 904 of the family's 1533-position model. The record is from RNAcentral.
UUGUCCGUAAUUACUGGGUGUAAAGGGAGCGUAGGCGGGACGGUAAGUCAGGUGUGAAAUAUACGUGCUCAACAUGUAGACUGCACUUGAAACUGCUGUUCUUGAGUGAAGUAGAGGUAAGCGGAAUUCCUAGUGUAGCGGUGAAAUGCGUAGAUAUUAGGAGGAACAUCGGUGGCGAAGGCGGCUUACUGGGCUUUUACUGACGCUGAGGCUCGAAAGCGUGGGGAGCAAACAGGAUUAGAUACCCUGGUAGUCCACGCUGUAAACGAUGAUUACUAGGUGUGGGGGGACUGACCCCUUCCGUGCCGCAGUUAACACAAUAAGUAAUCCACCUGGGGAGUACUACCGCAAGGUUGAAACUCAA